This is a non-coding RNA of 377 nucleotides. It matches the Rfam family "Alphaproteobacteria transfer-messenger RNA". From Rfam's summary of the family: Bacterial tmRNA, also known as 10Sa RNA or SsrA, is named for its dual tRNA and mRNA-like properties. Its role is to liberate the mRNA from a stalled ribosome. The record is from Rfam.
ACGAUUGCAUCCCGCGUGCCGCUUGCCUAUAUAGGGGAUGUCCUUCGGGACUAUGGACAUAAACGCGCUCGUAAUAAACGGAUCGGACCCGGGGGCGGUACCCGGCGGCUCCACCAACCACUUCUUUCGGCAGCAUCCUUCGUUUGGGGAUCACUUUCGAAAUCGUGGGGCCGAAAUAGGAUCGACGGACGUCUAAAGGGGUUAGCUUUGUCUCGGCUGUCUGCCACCGUUACCGGCGAAAACAGUACAAUUGCAAACGACAAUCGUGCUCCGGUUGCUCUGGCUGCGUAAGCAGUCCGGGUUGAACCGACUUUAAGCCCUAGCGCCUAGCCGCGUUAGGCGGGGUUCGCAGGUACCUGGCAACAGAAACCUGCACU